This 28-nucleotide non-coding RNA is filed under the name Homo sapiens (human). Lineage: Eukaryota; Metazoa; Chordata; Mammalia; Primates; Hominidae. The record is from RNAcentral.
CGCUUUGAUCAAGAUUGAAAGGCAAGGC